UGGGGAAUAUUGGACGAUGGGCGAAAGCCUGAUCCAGCCAUGCCGCGUGUGUGAAGAAGGUCUUCGGAUUGUAAAGCACUUUAAGCUGGGAGGAAGUGUACUUACCUAAUACGUGAGUAUUUUGACGUUACCGACAGAAUAAGCACCGGCUAACUCUGUGCCAGCAGCCGCGGUAAUACAGAGGGUGCAAGCGUUAAUCGGAAUUACUGGGCGUAAAGCGCGCGUAGGUUGUUUGUUAAGUUGGAUGUGAAAGCCCCGGGCUCAACCUGGGAACUGCAUCCAAAACUGGCAAGCUAGAGUGUGGUAGAGGGGGGUGGAAUUUCCUGUGUAGCGGUGAAGUGCGUAGAUAUAGGAAGAAACACCAGUGGCGAAGGCGACCACCUGGACUGAUACUGACACUGAGGUGCGAAAGCGUGGGGAGCAAACA
Molecule: ribosomal RNA, 427 nt
Filed under: uncultured bacterium
Lineage: Bacteria
Description: bacterial SSU rRNA
Rfam family: Bacterial small subunit ribosomal RNA
Source: RNAcentral